ACCUCAGUAACGGCGAGUGAAGCGGUAAGAGCUCAAAUUUGAAAGCUGGCUCCUUCGGGGUCCGCAUUGUAAUUUGCAGAGGAUGCUUCGGAAGCAGCCCCCAUCUAAGUACCCUGGAACGGGUCGUCAUAGAGGGUGAGAAUCCCGUAUGGGAUGGGGUGUCUGCGUCCAUGUGAAGCUCCUUCGACGAGUCGAGUUGUUUGGGAAUGCAGCUCUAAAUGGGUGGUAAAUUUCAUCUAAAGCUAAAUAUUGGCCGGAGACCGAUAGCGCACAAGUAGAGUGAUCGAAAGAUGAAAAGCACUUUGAAAAGAGAGUUAAAAAGCACGUGAAAUUGUUGAAAGGGAAGCGCUUGCGACCAGACUCGCCUCGGGGGUUCAACCGGCAUUCGUGCCGGUGUACUUCCCCCGGGGCGGGCCAGCGUCGGUUUGGGCGGUCGGUCAAAGGCUCUCGGAAUGUAACGCCUCUCGGGGCGUCUUAUAGCCGAGGGUGCCAUGCGACCUGCCCGGACCGAGGAACGCGCUUCGGCUCGGACGCUGGCAUAAUGGUCGUAAGCAACCCGUCUUGAAUCACCGACCAA
RNAcentral lists this ribosomal RNA (577 nucleotides) under Penicillium odoratum. RNAcentral's name for it is "partial large subunit ribosomal RNA". It matches the Rfam family "Eukaryotic large subunit ribosomal RNA", at positions 77 to 669 of the family's 3401-position model. Lineage: Eukaryota; Fungi; Ascomycota; Eurotiomycetes; Eurotiales; Aspergillaceae. The record is from RNAcentral.